This 442-nucleotide ribosomal RNA is filed under the name uncultured bacterium. RNAcentral describes it as "bacterial SSU rRNA". It matches the Rfam family "Bacterial small subunit ribosomal RNA", at positions 28 to 507 of the family's 1533-position model. The record is from RNAcentral.
GAUGAACGCUAGCGGCAGGCCUAAUACAUGCAAGUCGAGCGGUAAGGCUCCUUCGGGAGUACACGAGCGGCGGACGGCUGAGUAACGCGUAGGAACGUACCCCAAACUGAGGGAUAACUGCUCGAAAGAGUAGCUAAUACCGCAUGUGCUCUACGGAGUAAAGCUACGGCGGUUUGGGAACGGCCUGCGUACGAUUAGAUUGUUGGUGAGGUAAUGGCUCACCAAGUCGACGAUCGUUAGCUGGUCUGAGAGGAUGAUCAGCCAGACUGGGACUGAGAACGGCCCAGACUCCUACGGGAGGCAGCAGUAGGGAAUUUUCCACAAUGGACGAAAGUCUGAUGGAGCAACGCCGCGUGCAGGAUGAAUGCCUUCGGGUUGUAAACUGCUUUUAUCUGUGACGAAUAUGACGGUAGCAGAUGAAUAAGGAUCGGCUAACUCCGUG